AUAUUUGUUUUCCAAUAUUUCUGAUAAUUACUGAUAAGUGUCAUGCUGUGGCUGAGUCUGUCUGUGUGUUCCAUCAGUGUCACCUGGACCAGGUUGUGUUACAGGUGCAGAAAAAAGAUGAGAUCAUUCAUCAGGGAAAGUUGAAGUUAAAACGUUUUGAGGAAACCGUUGGAGAGUACACCAACAUCAUUGAGGAGCAGAAGAGGCAGUUAGAGGAAGCAUUGGAGAGGAC
This 232-nucleotide long non-coding RNA is filed under the name Gouania willdenowi (blunt-snouted clingfish). Its description in RNAcentral is "lncRNA (ENSGWIG00000008760.1)". Lineage: Eukaryota; Metazoa; Chordata; Actinopteri; Blenniiformes; Gobiesocidae. The record is from RNAcentral.